This 316-nucleotide long non-coding RNA is filed under the name Numida meleagris (helmeted guineafowl). RNAcentral describes it as "lncRNA (ENSNMEG00000012457.1)". Lineage: Eukaryota; Metazoa; Chordata; Aves; Galliformes; Numididae. The record is from RNAcentral.
AUGGAGCGGCUGAGAGCCCUUCGAGGUCUCUUUGCUUGUGUGGGCUGCAUGCCCAGGCGUACGCGUCGCGGGAGCAGAGGCAGGGUGGCAAGCUCUGUCCCUGCCUGUCCCGUGAAUUUGCUGCUGCAGCGCCUGCAAGACAAGGAGGGUGACCGAGCGCAGGUGUACUGCCAGCUGGAGAGCGCCCUGUGGGAAGAGGGCAGCCGCCCGCCAUGCGGGGUGGCGAACCGGCUGCUGGCAGAGGUGUCUCGGGACCUGACGGCGGCCCAGGUGAGGGGUCACUCCCAAAGGCAAAGGGAGCCACCUGCCCGCGCUG